UGAGGAACACUAGGAGCCAAGG
This 22-nucleotide non-coding RNA is filed under the name Rattus norvegicus (Norway rat). Lineage: Eukaryota; Metazoa; Chordata; Mammalia; Rodentia; Muridae. The record is from RNAcentral.